Molecule: long non-coding RNA, 556 nt
Organism: Bombina bombina (fire-bellied toad)
Lineage: Eukaryota; Metazoa; Chordata; Amphibia; Anura; Bombinatoridae
Exons: 2
Source: RefSeq, a predicted model, not a curated record
CCAACUUGCUGCUUUCUAUUCAGGCACACCGUAAAGACCGCUCUGCUGUACUGGAAGUUAGUCUGAGAAUUAUUUGGGACUUCCAUAUGCAAGACUUUUUAAGCCUAAUGCCUCAAUGGAGGUUUGGGGAUGGAAGGGGCAGGCUGGAUCCCACAACUGCCUAACCACAGCCCUGGACCACUUGGCUCUGCCCUCAGAACACCUGUGACUCCGCCUUCUCCCCGCCCAUGGAACACCUGUAACUAUGUCUCCACCCAGCCUGCCUCUACCUGUGGAACAACUGCAAUUGCGCUGUCUAUCCCCUCCAUAAUAAAGUUUCUGGAACUGCAACUCCUAACCCUGCAACAUGUCUUUCCAUGACUGUCUUUUACUGAUAAUAACUGAAAAAUAAUGUACUGUACACUAACUUUAUGACAGUUUCUAGUCUUUCUGUUUGCAGACUAAAGUCCAGAUUGGCUUCUUCAAAUAAGGCAAAUGGUGGGGUUAGUUUGAGUGUUGAAAAACAAUUGCAGUAAAUUGGAUGUUAAUAAUAUUAUAAUAAAUUAUUUAGUGCUUU